Molecule: non-coding RNA, 349 nt
Organism: Taeniopygia guttata (zebra finch)
Lineage: Eukaryota; Metazoa; Chordata; Aves; Passeriformes; Estrildidae
Source: RefSeq, a predicted model, not a curated record
GGCGGUGCUGGUGCUGGCGGUCAUCGGGAGCUGCGGCCCCGCCCCCCCGGCGCCGGCCCCGCCCUUCCUGGAGGAGCCAGCCAAUGGCAGCGCGCUGCUGGGCGAGGGGGCGGAGCUCCGCUGCCGCGCGCGGGGGGGCGUGGCCGUGCAGUGGGCGAGGGGCGGGCUCCUGCUCGGGGCCACGCCCACCCGCGCCCACCCGCGGUACCGAUUGGCCGGAGACCCCCGGAGAGGUGAGCACCACCUGCGGAUCCGGCCGGUGGCGCUGGAGGACGACGCCACAUUCACCUGCCAGGCGGGGGAGGGGAACCGGACCCACAGCACCCGCCCCGCCCUGCUCAGCGUGCUG